GUCGGGAUUCGACUCACUCCAACCCCUGUGACAUACCUAUACGUUGCCUCGGCGGAUCAGCCCGCGCCCCGUAAAACGGGACGGCCCGCCCGAGGACCCCUAAACUCUGUUUUUAGUGGAACUUCUGAGUAAAACAAACAAAUAAAUCAAAACUUUCAACAACGGAUCUCUUGGUUCUGGCAUCGAUGAAGAACGCAGCAAAAUGCGAUAAGUAAUGUGAAUUGCAGAAUUCAGUGAAUCAUCGAAUCUUUGAACGCACAUUGCGCCCGCCAGUAUUCUGGCGGGCAUGCCUGUUCGAGCGUCAUUUCAACCCUCAAGCUCAGCUUGGUGUUGGGACUCGCGGUAACCCGCGUUCCCCAAAUCGAUUGGCGGUCACGUCGAGCUUCCAUAGCGUAGUAAUCAUACACCUCGUUACUGGUAAUCGUCGCGGCCACGCCGUUAAACCCCAACUUCUGAAUGUUGACCUCGGAUCAGGUAGGAAUACCCGCUGAACUUAAGCAUAUCAAUAAGCGGAGGAA
RNAcentral lists this ribosomal RNA (518 nucleotides) under Botryosphaeria dothidea. Its description in RNAcentral is "eukaryotic LSU rRNA". The stretch from base 151 to 304 matches the Rfam family "5.8S ribosomal RNA". The record is from RNAcentral. Lineage: Eukaryota; Fungi; Ascomycota; Dothideomycetes; Botryosphaeriales; Botryosphaeriaceae.